Molecule: long non-coding RNA, 214 nt
Filed under: Homo sapiens (human)
Lineage: Eukaryota; Metazoa; Chordata; Mammalia; Primates; Hominidae
Description: long non-coding RNA NONHSAT072206
Source: RNAcentral
ACUACAAUCUAAGUCUUUCUGAUUUCAAAGCUCCUGCUUAUUACCACUUCACAGCACACCUAGAAAGCAUAAGGUGGGAGCAGGUUAAAAUGCAUACUUGUCUUUGGUUAUCCCCUCUACUUUCCUGUCCUUCUCUGCCUACCUGUAUCUGCAUCCUUGGUCACUGUGGAAAAUUAUCUUCUAGGGUCCUGUGGUGACAGAUAAUGGGAAUUUU